Long non-coding RNA from Populus trichocarpa (black cottonwood), 1592 nucleotides. RefSeq lists it as uncharacterized. The record is from RefSeq and is a predicted model, not a curated record. NCBI's taxonomy places the organism in Eukaryota, Viridiplantae, Streptophyta, Magnoliopsida, Malpighiales, Salicaceae. The transcript is spliced from 2 exons.
UCCUUUUCUUUCUAUAAAUAGAGGCUACUGGUGGUCUAUUAUAGGUCAUCCCCUCACUUUUCUCUCUCCCUCUCGCUCGCUCUCUCUCUCUCUCUCCUCCUCUAAUCCAUUAUACACCUUUCCUUUUAAAGAAACUUUCUUUUUAUUAUUAUUAUCAUGCUAUCUUCUAAUCAAAUUUCUUUUUUUCAUCUGCUCAGCAAGAAAAAAAUAAAAAACACAAAGAAAAGAAAACCAGAUUCUUUUCAUAAAUUAAAAAAAAAAGUUGAAAAACCAAUAGAAUUGGGACUUGGGGGAGAAGGAGGCACUGGUGAUGUUGUUGACAGAAGAUAGAGAGCACAGAUGAUGAUAUGCAAUGGACUCUGCAUCCCACUCCUUUGUGCUCUCUAUGCUUCUGUCAUCACUUUCAGCCCCGAGCCCCUCCUCCUCCUCCUCCUCCUCUAUUUCUUUGCUCAAUCUUCCAUGAUUUUGCUUUGUUUCAAUCUAUAUGUCAUUAAUGUUUUCUUUAGUUUGCAAGCGCAGGGCAAGUAACAUUUCAGAUAACGGAAAGGGGGGGUCUUGAUAUUCGAAGUGAUUUCUCAGCAUGUAUAAGGAUCAUAUUUGUUCCCUGGCUAUAUAUAACCAAAAUAGCCAACUACCAGUGAUUGAUAGACCGUAUAAGAGGUACCAAGUACAUGCUUUGUGAGAGAAGGGCCAUCCUAAUUAUUGGUGUUUUAAUUUUUGGUAUAUAUUAAUGGUGUGUUUUUCCGUGAAGGAGUGUGUAAAGCUGAGCAAAGGAUAUUAGUUCCAGGCACAAAACAGGACGAAUAGGGCUGAAGUUCUCGAGGUGAUCAGUUUAGUAUGAUGGUUUUGAUCGUUAUCAGUACAAAAGUACCACAAAUUUCUUUUCUUGCUUUAAAGGUUGAGCCUGGAUCACGAAUCUGAUCAUACAGUUAUUAUAAAUGAUAUACAUAUAUAAUUACGCUCAGAUCUGUUAAAUUCUAUUUACCAGAGGUUCUUAUCUUUAAGUAUUAAAUAGCCUAAAACAUGAUUUAAUAAGCAGUCCAUAAUAAGAUCAUUUUAUGUGUGAUUCUUUUGGAUUUGCAUUUUUCUUGACAAGGGCCUAUGAAGGAUCAUCUUCGACUUUCAUGUGUGCUUGUAUAAUUCUAUACUUUAUCUACAUCAAUUGAAUGAUUCGAUUCAUCAAGUCUUGUGUGGAUCAAGUGUACUACUAGAUUCAUUAUAUAUAUAGUUGACUAGUUGCAGACCUUCCACUAGAUUUUUCUUCUUUUGGCAGUCAGAUUUACUGAUGCAAAGAUGCCAAUUAAUCCUCUUUUUUUUUUUUUGCUAGCAAAAAACUAAUGGUUCACAAGUUCUCAUGUUUAUGCUCUUUAGAAUCCCACAAGAUGAUUUUAGAAGAAGAAGAAGAAGAAGAAUCAAGGGGAAAGAUCAGAGAGACCACUGCUUAACUCUUCACAUAAGUCUAUGUCGACACCAGCAGUUGUAUGUCUCAUGUUUGCUUGUUUCUUCCUGACGAUAGGCUUCUUUUAAGAUUAUUGAUUAUAAACUGGUCGCAAAACCAAAAUUGAAAAGAAAAAGAAAAAGAUUUUGUUACA